AGCUGUAUUUAUUAACAAAACUAAAGAGUGGGUGGGGAAAAGGAGGAUGAAGAGGAUUCUGGAACUUGUUUCUCUAUGAGUUCUGUUCUUGGCCAGAAGCUGGCCUUCUGUGCCCAGCCCCCUUUCCAUCCCCAAGCCUGUCCAGGCACCUGCUAUGGGUCCUGGCAUCCCGAGGCAGGGCCAGGGAAGGGCCAGGGUGAGGCCAAGAGGGCGGGUGAGGACAGCCCAGCCCAGCUCCUCACUGCUGGGGAGCCUGGUGUGGGGGCAGGACUGCUCUUGGCAGCUAUGUUCUCCCUGGAUGGAGAGAAGGCCUGUGUGUCUAUGGGCAACUGUCUCCAGGAGAUGGAGAUGACAUCAGAAUAGCCGGAGCAGGUGUGAUCCAAGGUUCUGCAAGGAAAAGGAAGGAUGGUGUGGAGUGUGUUGCUGCAGGGAAGGCUUCCCAGUGGAGGUGGCUCCUGAGCUCUAGGAAAAGGGAAGUGAGUGUCCUUCCAGGCAGAGGGAACAGCAGGUGCAAAGGCCUGGGGGCUCGUCUAUAAGGCCCGCUGGAGUCACAAGCCCCAUCCCAGACUCUCCAACGCUGGACCUGCAGCGCCCAGCCCUGCCCUGGUGCUACCACCUGCCAGCUCUGUGCCUGCCCCUCCACUAGAUCAUGACUUCGGCUCCAGCUCCCUCACUCUCCAUGCCUCUCACUUGCGGGUUGUGCCCUGCUCAGCUGGCCAGACUUUGGCCCCCUCCCUACCUGGAUUUGUGAAGCCCCAAAUUUCAUCUCCCCCACCACACUUAUUCACAGCCUCCGCCUGCUGACAUACCCAGGCAAGACUCCCUUCCCCUCCAGGCAGCCAAACUUCAGUUCGAAUCUUCUGGCUCUUACCAGACCCCUGAUGAAUCCCAGGAUCUUCGCAGGUGGUCCCAGGGCCUCUUUGAACCACAGUUUUACUUAUCUGAAAAAUAAAAAGGCAUGAUUUAGAUGACUUCUGAGGACUCUCUUGCCUUUCCUACCCCAAAACACUAGCAAGG
RNAcentral lists this long non-coding RNA (1017 nucleotides) under Homo sapiens (human). Its description in RNAcentral is "HSALNT0361684". Lineage: Eukaryota; Metazoa; Chordata; Mammalia; Primates; Hominidae. The record is from RNAcentral.